Oncorhynchus tshawytscha (Chinook salmon) is the source of this 1621-nucleotide long non-coding RNA. The record is from Ensembl. Lineage: Eukaryota; Metazoa; Chordata; Actinopteri; Salmoniformes; Salmonidae.
AUCUUUUUGUCCUUCCUGAGACAUCGGGUGCUGUAGGUGUCCUGGAGGGCAGGUAGUUUGCCCCCGGUAAUGUCAGUGAGUCUUUGGACUUGGAGAGGCUGCAGGGCCAGAGAGUGCCACACUUAGCCAGGCGUGUGAGCACCAUAGACUGCAACGUGCUCAACACCAGGAUGACCAAACAGAAACAGAAGUGCUUUCCUAUGGAGAACAACAAGAGAGAUGUGAUACUCACGGAUGAUGGGGCUGCACUGGCCUCCUCCAGGCAGAAGGUCCUUGAGGAUGUUGAGGAACAUGAUGAAGCUGAGAACCAGUUUAACCUUGAAGGGGAUGCGCUUACUCUCUCCCAGCGGCAGGGCGAAGCUGCCUACAUCAGCCAAGAUGAUUAGUAUACUGGGCAGGACCAGGGAUAGAAACGGGUUUUCGGACCGCAUUUUCAGCAAUACCUGUGAAGACAGACAGAUAAGCCGGCUAAGGAGUAUUGGUGUCUCUGGGGGUCUUUGGCCUGGUUUGCUAACUACCUCAGAAUGCAGUGUUUAAAGUCAGAAAAUAUGCUGUCUCAGCUACUGCCUGUCACCAAGGGAGUACCCCAAGUCUCAAUCCUAGGCCCCACACUCUUCUCAAUUUGCAUCAACAUAGCUCAGGCAGUAGGAAGCUCUCUCAUCCAUUUAUAUGUAGAUGAUAGUCUUAUAGUCAGCUGGCCCCUCCCAGGAGUUUGUGUUAAAUGCUCUACAACAAAGCUUUCUUAGUGUCCAGCAAGCUUUCUCUACCCUUAACCUUGUUCUGAACACCUCCAAAACAAAGGUCAUGUUGUUCUGUAAGAAGAAUGCCCCUCUCCCCACAGGUGUGUUUACUACCUCUGAGGGGUUAGAGCUUGAAGUAGUCACCUCAUACAAGCAUUUGGGAGUAUGGCUAGACGGUACACUGUCCUUCUCUCAGCACAUAUCAAAGCUGCAGGCUAAAGUUAAAUCUAGACUUGGUUUCUUCUAUCGUAAUCACUCCUCUUUCACCCCAGCUGCCAAACUAACCCUGAUUCAGAUGACCAUCCUACCCAUGCUAGAUUACGGAGACAUAAUUUAUAGAUCGGUAGGUAAGGGUUCUCUCGAGUGGCUAGAUGUUCUUUAUCAGUCGGCUCCUUAUAGGACACAUCACUGCACUCUAUACUCCUCUGUAAACUGGGCGUCUCUGUAUACCCGUCGCAAGACCCACUGGUUGAUGCUUAUUUAUAAAACCCUCUUAGGUCUCACACCCCCCUAUCUGAGAUAUCUACUGCAGCCCUCAUCCUCCACAUACAACACCUGUUCUGCCAGUCACAUUCUGUUAAAGGUCCCCAAAGCACACACAUCCCUGGGUCGCUCGUCUUUUCAGUUCCCUGCAGGUAGUGACCGGAACGAGCUGCAACAAUCACUCAAACUGGACAGUUUUAUCUCAAUCUCUUCAUUCAAAGACUCAAUCAUGGACACUCUUACUGACAGUUGUGGCUGCUUUGCAUGAUGUAUUGUUGUCUGUACCUUCUUGCCCUUUGUGCUGUUGUCUGUGCCCAAUAAUGUUUGUACCAUGUUUUGUGCUGCUACCAUGCUGUGUUGUCAUGCGUUGCUACCAUGUUGUUGUCAUGUUGUGUUGC